UUUUUAUCAAGUAAAUUUUUCAUUAAUUUCUAAAAAAUCAACUUAAUUAAUUACAUGCCUGAUCAGUGUGCACUUUAAUGUGCACCCUCAGGUUUAGGAUUUGAGAGCACUGACCCUCUAAGAGAAACAAUACAAUUUCUGGACAUACACCCUAUAAACCCACCACAUUACGCCCAACCAAUACCCUGUCAGAAGCUUUGCAAUCUAGGCAUCCUUCCAUCUCAACCAAUAUACCCUGUCUGCACGGCACUAAUGCCAUAUCCAACUUCAGGCAGCUCCUCAAAUUUAUCUUGUACUCUGCAACAUUUAAUUAAACAGAAGCAACUCUGACAAUUCUACAGCGAAACACACGCAGAUGCAGUAACGGUCCCUUUGUUAUCCUGAAUCUGGCUUACAUAAUAUUGUUUACUACAAGUGCCAAACGACAUGAGUGUCAAGGGCAGUAAAACAUAUCAUGAUGAUGAAUUCUACACAUAUACUUCACUUGGACAUUACAUCAUUUUGCCCUCAUUCCUUCUCCCACUUCAUCUUCUCCUAAGUUUCACCUCCACUUCCUAAGUCCAUCUAUUGCUCUAUGGGUCGAAUAUCUCUAUUGUCAACCUGCUCGAUUGUAUUUAGGGUCUACUCAUAUUUGGUCAGCAGCUGGGAUACAGCAGGGGGACCCUUUGGGGCCUCUUCUCUUUGCUUUAGUCUUGCAUCCAUUGAUACACCGUAUUCGGUCAGAAUGCCACUUGGAGUUGCAGGCAUGGUACUUAGAUGAUGGUACUCUGAUUAGUAGUACAGAACAUGUGGCUAGAGCUAUUCGUAUCAUUCAGGAAAGAGGACCAUCUCUUGGGCUCGUGCUUAAUGUGUCUAAGACAGAGUUGUUCUGGCCUUCUAUUGAUCCUGACUGCUCCUAUCCAGAUAUCUUUCCGGUUGGUAUAUCAUGUCCUCAGCGAGGGGUUAAGUUGCUUGGAGGGGCUGUAAGUACUGAUGCAUCAUUUAUUGUGGGUAAUGUUCGUCAACGAGUGGAUAAGACACUUCAACUUAUGGACUUAUUACCACAGCUAAAGGAUCCGCAGUGUGAGUUGGCACUUUUACGUUCUUGUAUGGGAUUAUCCAAACUCACCUUUGCUCUCCGUACUUGCCCCCCUGAUUAUGUUCAGGAAACAGCCGAAUGGUUUGACCACAAGCUUCGUGCAGCCCUUCAAAAUAUUGUGGUUUUCGAUGGCCCUGGUUUUGGCGAUCUACAGUGGCGUAUGGCAACCCUCCCAUUGCGUAUGGGUGGACUUGGUAUCUAUUGUGCCUCUGAUGUUAUGAAGUUUGCUUUCGUAGCUUCACGUACGCAAACCAAGGAUCUCCAGGACCACAUUCUUCAAGGUUGUGACACUCCACCUAUGGGUAAUGUUUUCGAUACUGCCAUUGCUAGUUUACAUCUUUCUAUACCUGAUUUUGAUCUCAGUAAUCUUGCUCCAACUGCUACUGUCCCCUUCAGACCCCAACAUGUCUUGGCGGAAGCAUACUACAACAAGAUUAGUUCUGGUCUUGAGAGGGAAUUUGAGUUGUCAGCUAGACAAAAAACCGUGAUUGGAUGUGUACAGUCAGAACAUGCCAAAGAUUUUCUUCUUGCUAUCCCGAUGGAAGGGUUUGGACAACGCAUGACGCCUGUAGAGUAUCGUGCCAUUCUUCGUUAUCGAUUGAUGAUCCCUCUAUAUUCAGAUGGUGAGCUUUGUCCAGUGUGUAAGAAGAGUAGACUUGAUGCUUUCGGGGACCAUGCGGCCCAUUGUAAGCAUUACCCCGGCUUCAAGUACAGGCAUGACCACGUUAGAGAUAUCUUGUGUGAUGUGUUCUGGCGGGCUGGCGUACAGGUUAAGAAGGAGGCUCCUGUUAACUUUCUUACUGAUCCUAAGGAAGGAAGAUCAACACUACGUCUUGCUGAUAUUCUGGUCUACAACUGGUCGGAAGGUAAACAUGCGUGUGUUGAUGUUACAGGGGCGUCUCAGAUGGUUGGGCUGAGUGCUGGGAUUUUUGAGGUGGGGCUAGCAGCUAGCAAUGCAGCAACGGCAAAAGUGGAGAAACAUGACGGAGUUCGUAGGGCUAACCAACAUAGUUUCAUCCCUUUUGCAUUUGACACAUUUGGACUACUAGGCUCAGAAGCAGUUGAGCUCUUCAGGAGAGUGCAGAAGAUAAUGGAUAGCAACGUGAUGACUGCAGGUUCGAACGAAUAUGUAUUUAGGAGAAUCGGGUUUGCUAUCCAGAAAGGACUUGCCGCGCAAUUUGUAGCGCGUUUGUCCUCUACUUUUGUGUAAUUCGUUGAGCUUAUCAAUAAAAUUUGAUUUUUUUCAAUAAAAAAAAAAAAAAACAGAAUCAAAUACAAGGAAAGAGAUGACAAAAACAGUUGCGCAGCACCUAUGAACUGAAGCGAAGUGGUAAUAAGCUACCAUUAAAUGAGCAUCAUAGGUCCGAAACACUCGUAAAUGCCAUAUAAAAACUACUUGGGAAUAAAAGAGUGAUUUGCUUUCUGAUAAGUGAUUAUUAAUGGACCAAUAUACAAUUUACGCAAUUGAUGCAGCCAGCACGAAUCAUAUUUUUAGCAUAAUGGCUCGUAAGUGCCUAGUACAGAACUUGCGCUCAGCUUCUCUGCCUUAUCCUUGGCUUUGCCCCACAAUAGCACAUAAAGGCCUACUAUCACGAAAAUUGCUCCAAGCAUGCUGCAGUGGCCGAACAGGUAACUCAGGAUCAGAAAUGAUGUAAUCAAAAAUUAAACAAUUGAGACAACAAGAACUAUAAUUGUAUUCAUUUACCUCCCUAGAUGAGCAUCUUUCCUUAACACAACUGUCUCGAGAAGGAAUGUGAAUACAAUGAGCAGAGGGGAAAACGCAGACGUAAAAACAGGGCCUUUUUUGUGUACAGCCCAUGUGUGGACAUAGUAUGAUAAACCGUAAAUAACAAUGCCCUGUCAAUUGCCAGACCAACCACCAUUGGAGGCCAUAUCUUAAAACUGAACUUUGAAUCUUUGUAUAAUGGAACAAGUUCAUAUUUGAAUGUGACUUUUAUAGUCGAAUGUUAAAAAAAUUUCAGAUGAAGUAAAGAUUGAGUUAUUACCCCAUACAAAAUCACUGGAAGCAUAUAACUACCAUGGAAGUUUAUCUUCCAUGCAGAAGCAUUUCUUUGGGUUAAUCCUGCAAUUAUUGCAGUUUGCAAAGUUCCGCAAAAGGACAUAAGUGCUGAUAAAGACAACUCUGCAGGAUACAUAAUUGUGGCAUGUUCCUGCACAAAAGCUUUUAAAAGUUAGUUAAUCAAGACCCCCGCGUUUUGCUUCAUGGGGCUUCUUUCUCUAUUGUUUUGGUAUAAAUUAACAAUAAAACCCCUUGCAUCUCAUGAACUAUUAUUAGACAUAC
This 3380-nucleotide long non-coding RNA is filed under the name Aquilegia coerulea. RNAcentral describes it as "long non-coding RNA (ACOE_LNC001265)". The record is from RNAcentral. Lineage: Eukaryota; Viridiplantae; Streptophyta; Magnoliopsida; Ranunculales; Ranunculaceae.